RNAcentral lists this unclassified non-coding RNA (250 nucleotides) under plant metagenome. Its description in RNAcentral is "partial contains small subunit ribosomal RNA, internal transcribed spacer 1, and 5.8S ribosomal RNA". The record is from RNAcentral.
GUAGGUGAACCUGCGGAAGGAUCAUUAACACGUAUCCACGUAUCAACCCCUCUGUGCAACUGACUCAACGUCAGGCUGGUCUAGUCUAUUCGCUCGUAUAGGUCUUAAUGAUGGGAGAUCCCCCUCUCUUCGGGGGGGGGCGAACUCGAGAUCUGAGUGAUUAGGCGUUUUGACGAUUAGCCGCUAUUUUUCCAUCGUUAGGCCCAACAAAAAUUUUUAACCCCUUUGUACUCUUUUGUACUGAACCAAA